RNAcentral lists this ribosomal RNA (254 nucleotides) under uncultured bacterium. RNAcentral describes it as "partial 16S ribosomal RNA". It matches the Rfam family "Bacterial small subunit ribosomal RNA", at positions 524 to 776 of the family's 1533-position model. The record is from RNAcentral.
UACGGGGGGGGGCAAGCGUUGUUCGGAAUUACUGGGCGUAAAGGGCGCGUAGGCGGCCUUCUAAGUCGGACGUGAAAUCCCUCGGCUUAACCGAGGAACUGCGUCCGAUACUGAAAGGCUUGAAUCCGGGAGAGGGAUGUGGAAUUCCAGGUGUAGCGGUGAAAUGCGUAGAUAUCAGGAGGAACACCGGUGGCGAAGGCGGGUCUCUGGGCAGUAACUGACGCUGAGGAGCGAAAGCGUGGGGAGCGAACAGG